GACGAACGCUGGCGGCGUGCUUAACACAUGCAAGUCGAACGGUGAAGCCCUUCGGGUGGAUCAGUGGCGAACGGGUGAGUAACACGUGAGCAAUCUGCCCUUGACUCUGGGAUAACUUCGGGAAACCGGAGCUAAUACCGGAUAUGACACGCGGCCGCAUGGUCUGUGUGUGGAAAGAUUUAUUGGUCAGGGAUGAGCUCGCGGCCUAUCAGCUUGUUGGUGGGGAAUGGCCUACCAAGGCGACGACGGGUAGCCGGCCUGAGAGGGCGACCGGCCACACUGGGACUGAGACACGGCCCAGACUCCUACGGGAGGCAGCAGUGGGGAAUAUUGCGCAAUGGGCGAAAGCCUGACGCAGCGACGCCGCGUGAGGGAUGAAGG
RNAcentral lists this ribosomal RNA (381 nucleotides) under uncultured bacterium. RNAcentral's name for it is "bacterial SSU rRNA". It matches the Rfam family "Bacterial small subunit ribosomal RNA", at positions 28 to 414 of the family's 1533-position model. The record is from RNAcentral.